CUCUCUCUCUCUCUCUCCAUUCCCUAAUCCUCUGUCCCUCCAUUCCCCGAUCCUCUCUCUCCCUCCCGGUCUUUGCUCCAUCUUCUCAUUCUCCUCGCUCUCUCUCCAAUGCAUCUCCGCCCUCUCUAUCUCUCUCUCCCACUCUCCUUCUCAACCCAAACCCAAACCCUCCUCUCCCAACAUCCAUGUCCUGGGGUGGCACUCUCUCCUCUGUCCGAUUGAUAGUCCAAGGCAAAAAUCAUGUCCAGAGAUCGGGAAAGGCCCGAAGCUCCGCAGGUGCGAGGUGCGUGUAGUGGUAUUUCCGUAGUUCUUAUUCUGGGUGUGUCAUUUUUCGAUGGAAAUUAGGGUUUCGAGGGAGUGAUCGGCGGUAAAAAAUCAGGUAAAUGACAGUAAGUUCAUGCAAGAGUAUAAAAAAGUGUCAUUUCUUCCCCAUUUGUGGUAAGCUCCAAUAAGAACAUGCAGGGCUGAUGUAUUUUCAGCCUCACAGAUCAAUGUUUCCAUUGCAAGGUUCAACAUUGAAAUGUGAUUAUCAGAAGCAGUGGGCCAUCAUUGAAAGAUUACCCUUGUAGUGAGUCUAGAUGGGAGAGGACAAGGAUCUUUUAGUUAUGACGAACGUGGAUUUGCAAAAGCUGUUCCCAGGCAAGAAGGUAAGAGAAUAAUACACCCAGGUGAACUUGAAUC
This is a long non-coding RNA of Magnolia sinica, 681 nucleotides long. RefSeq lists it as uncharacterized. NCBI's taxonomy places the organism in Eukaryota, Viridiplantae, Streptophyta, Magnoliopsida, Magnoliales, Magnoliaceae. The transcript is spliced from 5 exons. The record is from RefSeq and is a predicted model, not a curated record.